AAAACAUAGUAUAAUUAAAAUACAUUUCAUUUACACUGAAAAUAUACUUGAUCAUUAAGUUGUUUU
RNAcentral lists this transfer RNA (66 nucleotides) under Latiromitra sp. MZUR BAU00612. RNAcentral describes it as "transfer RNA-Val". Lineage: Eukaryota; Metazoa; Mollusca; Gastropoda; Neogastropoda; Turbinellidae. The record is from RNAcentral.